CACCUGGGUGUUGUGUUAAAAUACUGAUUCCGUAGGGUUAGGGGAGGCCUGGGAUUCUGCAUUUCUGACAAGUUUCCAGGUGAUGC
This 86-nucleotide microRNA precursor is filed under the name Dasypus novemcinctus (nine-banded armadillo). RNAcentral's name for it is "miRNA (ENSDNOG00000030162.1)". The record is from RNAcentral. Lineage: Eukaryota; Metazoa; Chordata; Mammalia; Cingulata; Dasypodidae.